This is a non-coding RNA of Pseudomonas putida, 92 nucleotides long. The record is from Rfam. NCBI's taxonomy places the organism in Bacteria, Pseudomonadati, Pseudomonadota, Gammaproteobacteria, Pseudomonadales, Pseudomonadaceae.
UGACCAAGGGGCCGGGCAGCUCUGAUCGAUGCAGUUCGGAGCAGCCUAGGGGUACAAGGAGUGCCUCCGUCGAGGGCCGGGUCAGGAAAGCA